RNAcentral lists this ribosomal RNA (463 nucleotides) under uncultured Klebsiella sp. Its description in RNAcentral is "bacterial SSU rRNA". It matches the Rfam family "Bacterial small subunit ribosomal RNA", at positions 338 to 795 of the family's 1533-position model. Lineage: Bacteria; Pseudomonadati; Pseudomonadota; Gammaproteobacteria; Enterobacterales; Enterobacteriaceae. The record is from RNAcentral.
CCUACGGGUGGCUGCAGUGGGGAAUAUUGCACAAUGGGCGCAAGCCUGAUGCAGCCAUGCCGCGUGUGUGAAGAAGGCCUUCGGGUUGUAAAGCACUUUCAGCGGGGAGGAAGGCGUUAAGGUUAAUAACCUUGGCGAUUGACGUUACCCGCAGAAGAAGCACCGGCUAGCUCCGUGCCAGCAGCCGCGGUAAUACGGAGGGUGCAAGCGUUAAUCGGAAUUACUGGGCGUAAAGCGCACGCAGGCGGUCUGUCAAGUCGGAUGUGAAAUCCCGGGCUCAACCUGGGAACUGCAUUCGAAACUGGCAGGCUAGAGUCGUGUAGAGGGGGGUAGAAUUCCAGGUGUAGCGGUGAAAUGCGUAGAGAUCUGGAGGAAUACCGGUGGCGAAGGCGGCCCCCCGGACAAAGACUGACGCUCAGGUGCGAAAGCGUGGGGAGCAAACAGGAUUAAUACCCCAGUAGUC